AGAAAAUUCAUGUGUAUUUCUGACCGGAACUAAGAUUGUUUUGCUGCAUUUUGAAGAUCCGGAAAGGUAUGAACUGAAUCUGGAACACGCUGUUUAUGGUUGAGUCCAGCCCACAGAGUCUGCAGGUGGUUGUGAGAGGACUGCCCACAGAUCCAUUGAUUCAUUCCAGGUUCCACCCGUGUUUACUCUCAUCACAAGCAGCAGUUGGCGUUGUGGUGUGGUCAUAGGUGUGUCUGUGACAUCAUCAUCAUCAUCAUCUUCAGGAGUGAUGCGCAGGAAGUCGACG
Molecule: long non-coding RNA, 286 nt
Organism: Austrofundulus limnaeus
Lineage: Eukaryota; Metazoa; Chordata; Actinopteri; Cyprinodontiformes; Rivulidae
Exons: 5
Source: RefSeq, a predicted model, not a curated record